This is a non-coding RNA of Procambarus clarkii (red swamp crayfish), 370 nucleotides long. The record is from RefSeq and is a predicted model, not a curated record. NCBI's taxonomy places the organism in Eukaryota, Metazoa, Arthropoda, Malacostraca, Decapoda, Cambaridae.
UGCACUUGGGUGCAAGUUCGGUGCAGGUGUACUUAAACGGGUGCAAGUUCGGUGCAGGUGCACUUAAACGGGUGCAAGUUCGGUGCAGGUGCACUUAAGUCCAAGUUUGGUGUACUUUAGUGCAAAUUUGAUGCAGGUGCACUUGGGUGCAAGUUCAGUGCAGGUGUACUUAAAUGGGUGCAAGUUCGGUGCAGGUGCACUUAAACGGGUGCAAGUUCGGUGCAGGUGCACUUAAACGGGUGCAAGUUCGGUGCAGGUGCACUUAAACGGGUGCAAGUUCGGUGCAGGUGCACUUAAGUCCAAGUUCGGUGUACUUUAGUGCAAAUUUGAUGCAGAUGCACUUGGGUGCAAGUUCGGUGCAGGUGUACUU